GGCCUCCUAGCUCAGCUGGUAGAGCGUGCGCCGUACAAAAGCGUAGGCGGCGUCCAUGCAUGGGUUCGAAUCCCAUCGAGGCUA
Molecule: non-coding RNA, 84 nt
Organism: Echinostoma caproni
Lineage: Eukaryota; Metazoa; Platyhelminthes; Trematoda; Plagiorchiida; Echinostomatidae
Source: Rfam